GGAAGAGCGGAAAAAUCGGCCGAUGGUGCCGCUGCCUCAGUUCUGCCCGCUUCUGUAGCCUCCUUGCUGGGUACAGCGGAGCAGAAAGAGCCUUAGUGUUCCCUCCCAAUCCCCCAGUUCUGCGGCCUGGAGACGGCAUCGCGGGCACGCUUCAACUGUAGGGGACGGUAUUCUGAACAGGCAAGAGCCUGUGACUCAGGGGUGGUCCCUCCGCACCUUCAGAUGAGAAGCUGAAGACGUACAGCUCCAGCCUGACGUCCGUGGGGGGUACACCAAAGCCCCCGAUGUGGCCAGAGGUAACCCAAUAGGCUCCCCCGUUACGCCAGAUUAUCCCUGGAGAAUUCACUCUCCACCACGUGAAAGGAAGAGACGAAAAGUUUGGGGACUCGAUAUAAGUCGGGAAGCAGCAGCUGGUCAGCUCUUUGCAUGCUUUGAGUCUAAUUACACAGAGCACAAAUCCAUUGCCCAUGAAGAAAAGGAACACUAGAAUGAGCCCUCUGAAAAAACCCAGGUGGUUGCCUUGACUCCUCACCUCUGAUUUACCCGCCUUCUCUGCUUCCUAAAGCUAAACAAAGUAUCACUAUGUCCUAGAAGAUGAAGCUCGCCAGGAAGCUGCUGUUUGGAAGCUUUUGUUCACCAAAUGCCUGCGAUUCUCCCAACACACCAUUCUCGUGGUACUCCAAGUGCAGAGGAUUGAGUGGAUCAGGUCCCUCAGCUCAUUGCAUCCUGUACUAUCAUCAUCACUUGUCCAUUCAGGGUCUCUCUCUUAAUUUAUUUAUUGCUUUCAUCCCCAUAACCACUUCCCGUAAUAGGCAAUCGUUCUAAUGUUUUUAACAUGUGUCUCCUGUUUUGUCCCCUGUUCACUUAGUCGUGAUGUCUCUGGUUGAACAAAAGUCCUUAAAUUUAAUGUAAUCAGACCCACCAACUUUGGGCCUUAUGGCUGGUGCUUUUGAAGUUAAAAACUUUUUUCCUGCCACAAAGGCGAAAGUCUACAUCUUCAAUAAACUUCAUAGCAUUACCUUUCACUUUUGGGCCCUUUAUCCAUUUGGAAUCUAUCUUUCGUGUGUAGUGUUGAGAUCUAUCUGUAUUUAUCUAGUUAGCCAGGUUCCCAGAACCAUCUGUUAAGC
This 1127-nucleotide long non-coding RNA is filed under the name Equus asinus (donkey). RNAcentral describes it as "lncRNA (ENSEASG00005029483.1)". The record is from RNAcentral. Lineage: Eukaryota; Metazoa; Chordata; Mammalia; Perissodactyla; Equidae.